RNAcentral lists this transfer RNA (86 nucleotides) under Lepisosteus oculatus (spotted gar). Its description in RNAcentral is "Selenocysteine transfer RNA". It matches the Rfam family "Selenocysteine transfer RNA". Lineage: Eukaryota; Metazoa; Chordata; Actinopteri; Semionotiformes; Lepisosteidae. The record is from Rfam by way of RNAcentral.
GCCCGGAUGAGCCUCGGUGGGCCGGGGUGCAGGCUUCAAACCUGCAGCUGCUUGACGGCAGAGUGGUUCAAUUCCACCUUCCGGGC